RNAcentral lists this ribosomal RNA (250 nucleotides) under Perkinsus marinus. Its description in RNAcentral is "partial Eukaryotic large subunit ribosomal RNA". It matches the Rfam family "Eukaryotic large subunit ribosomal RNA", at positions 1745 to 1995 of the family's 3401-position model. Lineage: Eukaryota; Perkinsozoa; Perkinsida; Perkinsidae. The record is from RNAcentral.
GGUUUUCGAACUGGAAUAGCACCUUGUCUAACAGGGUGUCUGGAGUGUUCUCGCUGGCCCUUGAAAAUCCGAGGGAUAGAUUUAUUCGCACUCUCGAUCGUACCCAUAACCGCAUCAGGUCUCCAAGGUUAGAAGCCUCUGGUCCGUAGGACAAAGUAGAUAAGGGAAGUCGGCAAAAUAGGUCCGUAACUUCGGGAAAAGGACUGGCUCUGAGGUUUGGUAUGUGGAACCUGGAUUAAUCGUUGGAGUC